This 253-nucleotide ribosomal RNA is filed under the name uncultured bacterium. RNAcentral describes it as "partial 16S ribosomal RNA". It matches the Rfam family "Bacterial small subunit ribosomal RNA", at positions 524 to 776 of the family's 1533-position model. The record is from RNAcentral.
UACGAAGGGAGCUAGCGUUGUUCGGAUUUACUGGGCGUAAAGCGCGUGUAGGCGGGUCGUUAAGUCGGGGGUGAAAGCCCAGAGCUCAACUCUGGAACUGCCUUCGAUACUGGCGACCUGGAACCGGUCAGAGGCUAGUGGAAUACCGAGUGUAGAGGUGAAAUUCGUAGAUAUUCGGUGGAACACCAGUGGCGAAGGCGACUAGCUGGGACCGUGUUGACGCUGAGACGCGAAAGCGUGGGGAGCAAACAGG